ACUGCCGGUGUUUAAGCCGGAGGGAAGGUGGGGAGUGACGUCAAGUCCUCAUGGCCUUUAUGUCUAGGGCUACACACGUGCUACAAUGGGUGGUACAAAGAGCAGCUAACUCGCGAGAGUAUGCAAAUCUCAAAAAGCCAUCCUCAGUUCGGAUUGGAGUCUGCAACUCGACUCCAUGAAGUUGGAAUCGCUAGUAAUCGCGGAUCAGCAUGCCGCGGUGAAUACGUUCCCGGGCCUU
RNAcentral lists this ribosomal RNA (238 nucleotides) under uncultured Smithella sp. Its description in RNAcentral is "partial 16S ribosomal RNA". It matches the Rfam family "Bacterial small subunit ribosomal RNA", at positions 1147 to 1382 of the family's 1533-position model. Lineage: Bacteria; Pseudomonadati; Thermodesulfobacteriota; Syntrophia; Syntrophales; Smithellaceae. The record is from RNAcentral.